Triticum urartu is the source of this 73-nucleotide non-coding RNA. Lineage: Eukaryota; Viridiplantae; Streptophyta; Magnoliopsida; Poales; Poaceae. The record is from Rfam.
GAGACUUUAGUAUAAUGGUAAAUACAUGUGACUUUUAAUCAUUAAGAUAUAGGUUCGAAUCCUAUAAGUCUUA